AAGUUUGAUACAAAUAAAAAUUUAGAACAUAUAUGGUUCAAUUUCAACACCCAACUACAUAAACAUACUGAAUAUUUGCAUACUGUAAUUUGUAUGACAUAUCAAUGUCCUCAUUACGAGUACGUAACAGUCCAUCAUGAUACUUGAGAGAUUGCUUUCCUAUGGGUCUGUUUGUCUAUGUAUAGUUGCAAGCCUUCAAAUUUUACUCCUCCCCACCCCC
This 220-nucleotide long non-coding RNA is filed under the name Brassica napus (rape). RNAcentral describes it as "long non-coding RNA (BNAP_LNC025639)". The record is from RNAcentral. Lineage: Eukaryota; Viridiplantae; Streptophyta; Magnoliopsida; Brassicales; Brassicaceae.